This 587-nucleotide ribosomal RNA is filed under the name uncultured eukaryote. Its description in RNAcentral is "SSU rRNA". It matches the Rfam family "Eukaryotic small subunit ribosomal RNA", at positions 586 to 1187 of the family's 1831-position model. The record is from RNAcentral.
UCCAGCUCCAAUAGCGUAUAUUAAAGUUGUUGCAGUUAAAAAGCUCGUAGUUGGAUUUCGGAAGGUCCUUAGCAAUCCGCCCCUUCGGGGAGCGGGUUGCUGGCCUCCUAUGUUCCUAACGGYCCUCAUCCGCGAGGGYGGGGAAUCAACCGCUAGGAUCGUUUACUUUGAGGAAAUUAGAGUGUUCAAAGCAGGCGUAACUCGCCUCCGAAUACGUUAGCAUGGGAUAAUGGAAUACGACUUCGGUCUUGUUUCGUUGGUUUCGCUUGGCUGAAGUAAUGAUUGAUAGGGACAGUUGGGGGCAUUAGUAUUUAGUUGUCAGAGGUGAAAUUCUAGGAUUUACUAAAGACUGACCAAUGCGAAAGCAUUUGCCAAGGAUGUUUUCAUUAAUCAAGAACGAAAGUAGGGGGAUCGAAGACGAUCAGAUACCGUCGUAGUCUCUACCGUAAACUAUGCCGACCAGGGAUCCGGAGAGUUUGCAUGGAUGACUCCCCGGGCACCUUGUGAGAAAUCAUAAGUGUUUGGGUUUUGGGGGGAGUAUGGUCGCAAGGCUGAAACUAAAGGAAUGACGACAGUAGAAUMAAGUU